Molecule: ribosomal RNA, 246 nt
Filed under: uncultured bacterium
Lineage: Bacteria
Description: partial 16S ribosomal RNA
Rfam family: Bacterial small subunit ribosomal RNA
Source: RNAcentral
GUAGGGGGCAAGCGUUAUCCGGAUUUACUGGGUGUAAAGGGAGCGUAGACGGCAAUGCAAGUCCGGAGUGAAAGCCCGGGGCUCAACCCUGGGACUGCUCUGGAAACUGUAAAGCUGGAGUGCGGGAGGGGCAGGCGGAAUUCCUGGUGUAGCGGUGAAAUGCGUAGAUAUCAGGAGGAACGCCGGCGGCGAAGGCGGCCUGCUGGACCGUAACUGACGUUGAGGCUCGAAAGCGUGGGGAGCAAA